GUCUUUGGCUAUACCACCCUGAACAAGCCUGAUAUCUGAGCAGGGUCAGACCUGGUUAGUUCUUAGAUGGGAGACCACCUAGGCAGACCAGGUGCUGUAGGCA
RNAcentral lists this ribosomal RNA (103 nucleotides) under Pteropus alecto (black flying fox). The record is from RNAcentral. Lineage: Eukaryota; Metazoa; Chordata; Mammalia; Chiroptera; Pteropodidae.